AUACGUAGGUGGCGAGCGUUGUCCGGAAUUACUGGGUGUAAAGGGCGUGUAGGCGGGUAUGCAAGUCAGAUGUGAAAUACCGGGGCUCAACCCCGGGGCUGCAUUUGAAACUGUGUAUCUUGAGUGCAGGAGAGGAAAGUGGAAUUCCUAGUGUAGCGGUGGAAUGCGACGAUAUUUGGAGGAACACCAGUGGCGAAGGCGCAUUUCAGACCUGUAACUGGCACGGAGGCGGGAAGGCGUGGGGAGCGAACAGGAUUAAAUACACGGGUUGUCCACGCCGUAAACGAUGGAUACUAGGUGUAGGAGGUAUCGACCCCUUCUGUGCCGGAGUUAACACAAUAAGUAUCCCACCUGGGGAGUACGGCCGCAAGGUUGAAACUUAAAGGAAUUGACGGGG
RNAcentral lists this ribosomal RNA (397 nucleotides) under uncultured bacterium. Its description in RNAcentral is "partial 16S ribosomal RNA". It matches the Rfam family "Bacterial small subunit ribosomal RNA", at positions 523 to 918 of the family's 1533-position model. The record is from RNAcentral.